UCGAGCGGCGGCGAGGUGGGGAGAGGAGGCCAGGGUUGGCAGCGGCUAGGGUUUGGUCGCCCGUGUCGCCUGGGGGAAGCGCGGCACAGGCGUUGGUCUCUCGUCAAGUUGGUCCAAAUUUUUAGCCUGCACUACUUUUGUAUACCCUAGUUGGUUAUUUAGCAAAAUAGUCGCCGAGUAUUACUGACCAACUUAGAACCGACUUAAAACGAUCGGACCAACUUUGGUCGACCAAUUGAUCAUACUGACUAAUUCACACCGUUUACCAUCGAUUAUCGACUGGUCGACCUGGUGGACUGAUUAGGCAACGCUAAUUUAUAUUUUGAAUGGCUCAAGUAAUGUUAUAUUGAUGAUUUUUAAUAAAUAAG
RNAcentral lists this long non-coding RNA (368 nucleotides) under Oryza brachyantha (malo sina). Its description in RNAcentral is "long non-coding RNA (OBRA_LNC001405)". Lineage: Eukaryota; Viridiplantae; Streptophyta; Magnoliopsida; Poales; Poaceae. The record is from RNAcentral.